This 451-nucleotide ribosomal RNA is filed under the name uncultured bacterium. Its description in RNAcentral is "bacterial SSU rRNA". It matches the Rfam family "Bacterial small subunit ribosomal RNA", at positions 29 to 524 of the family's 1533-position model. The record is from RNAcentral.
AACGAACGCUGGCGGCAGGCUUAACACAUGCAAGUCGAACGAUGUAGCAAUACAUAGUGGCGCACGGGUGAGUAACGCGUGGGAAUAUACCUUAUAGUGGGGAAUAACUUUGGGAAACUAAAGCUAAUACCGCAUACGCCCGAGAGGGGAAAGAUUUAUCGCUAUAAGAUUAGCCCGCGUGAGAUUAGGUAGUUGGUGGGGUAAUGGCCUACCAAGCCUACGAUCUCUAGCUGGUCUGAGAGGAUGAUCAGCCACACUGGAACUGAGACACGGUCCAGACUCCUACGGGAGGCAGCAGUGGGGAAUAUUGGGCAAUGGACGAAAGUCUGACCCAGCCAUGCCGCGUGAAUGAUGAAGGCCUUAGGGUUGUAAAGUUCUUUCGCCGAUGAAGAUAAUGACGGUAGUCGGAGAAGAAGCCCCGGCUAAACUUCGUGCCAGCAGCCGCGGUAAU